UUCUGGUCGAGAUUUCCACAGGAGAAAAAGGGGUUCUCUACAUUGAACCCUAGCAUACAUAAAAUCAAUCAAAUUGAAGGCCAAAUCGGGCUCGAAUCAAAGGCAUGAAUACAUACAAAUGAUCACCAAGUCGAGGGGAUCAAGAGUUUGACUCUUGACAAGCUAGAUGGAGGCUUGGGGAAAGAAGCGGGUCAAACGGAUCGUAUACGCGGAAAAGAGCAUAAUCCGGAUACAAGGAAUAAAUAUCGAUUGAAUGUUGACAUCGCUAUUACUUAGCGGCUACUAAGGCAAGGUGAAGAUGGACCUAAUCCGGAU
This 315-nucleotide long non-coding RNA is filed under the name Helianthus annuus (common sunflower). Its description in RNAcentral is "hypothetical non coding rna". Lineage: Eukaryota; Viridiplantae; Streptophyta; Magnoliopsida; Asterales; Asteraceae. The record is from RNAcentral.